UACGAAGGGGACUAGCGUUGUUCGGAAUUACUGGGCGUAAAGCGCACGUAGGCGGAUUUGUAAGUCAGGGGUGAAAUCCCGGGGCUCAACCUCGGAACUGCCUUUGAUACUGCAAAUCUCGAGUCCGGAAGAGGUGAGUGGAAUUCCUAGUGUAGAGGUGAAAUUCGUAGAUAUUAGGAAGAACACCAGUGGCGAAGGCGGCUCACUGGUCCGGUACUGACGCUGAGGUGCGAAAGCGUGGGGGAGCAAACAGG
RNAcentral lists this ribosomal RNA (254 nucleotides) under uncultured bacterium. RNAcentral's name for it is "partial 16S ribosomal RNA". It matches the Rfam family "Bacterial small subunit ribosomal RNA", at positions 524 to 776 of the family's 1533-position model. The record is from RNAcentral.